CCCGGCUAGCUCAGUCGGUAGAGCAUGA
Molecule: non-coding RNA, 28 nt
Filed under: Bombyx mori (domestic silkworm)
Lineage: Eukaryota; Metazoa; Arthropoda; Insecta; Lepidoptera; Bombycidae
Also listed under: 12 other names
Source: RNAcentral